UCCGGUUGAUCCUGCCAGAGGUUACUGCUAUCGAGGUUCGACUAAGCCAUGCGAGUCGAAUGUAGCAAUACAUGGCGUACUGCUCAGUAGCACGUGGACAACCUGCCCUUAGGUUGGGUAUAAACCCGGGAAACUGGGUAUAAUCCCCUAUAAGUCUCGGCUGCUGGAAUGCACCGAGAUUAAAAGCUCCGGCGCCUAAGGAUGGGUCUGCGGCCUAUCAGGUAGUAGUGGGUGUAGCGUACCUACUAGCCUACGACGGGUACGGGUUGUGAGAGCAAGAGCCCGGAGAUGGAUUCUGAGACACGAAUCCAGGCCCUACGGGGUGCAGCAGGCGCGAAAACUUUACAAUGCUGGCAACAGCGAUAAGGGAACCUCGAGUGCCAGGUUACAAAUCUGGCUGUCGAGAUGCCUAAAAAGCAUUUCAUAGCAAGGGCCGGGCAAGACCGGUGCCAGCCGCCGCGGUAACACCGGCGGCUCGAGUGGUAACCGUUAUUAUUGGGUCUAAAGGGUCUGUAGCCGGCCGGAUAAGUCUCUUGAGAAAUCUGGCAGCUUAACUGUCAGGCUUUCAGGAGAUACUGUCUGGCUCGAGGCCGGGAGAGGUGAGAGGUACUUCAGGGGUAAGGGGUGAAAUCUUGUAAUCCUUGAAGGACCACCAGUGGCGAAGGCGUCUCACCAGAACGGACCUGACGGCAAGGGACGAAAGCUAGGGGCACGAACCGGAUUAGAUACCCGGGUAGUCCUAGCCGUAAACGAUACUCGCUAGGUGUCGGCCACGGUGCGACCGUUGUCGGUGCCGUAGGGAAGCCGUGAAGCGAGCCACCUGGGAAGUACGGCCGCAAGGCUGAAACUUAAAGGAAUUGGCGGGGGAGCACCACAACGGGUGGAGCUUGCGGUUUAAUUGGAUUCAACGCCGGAAAUCUUACCGGGACCGACAGCAAUAUGAAGGCCAGGCUGAAGACUUUGCCGGAUUAGCUGAGAGGUGGUGCAUGGCCGUCGUCAGUUCGUACUGUGAAGCAUCCUGUUAAGUCAGGUAACGAGCGAGACCCA
This 1047-nucleotide ribosomal RNA is filed under the name unidentified archaeon. RNAcentral describes it as "bacterial SSU rRNA". It matches the Rfam family "Archaeal small subunit ribosomal RNA", at positions 1 to 1054 of the family's 1478-position model. The record is from RNAcentral.